Molecule: transfer RNA, 66 nt
Filed under: Matsucoccus matsumurae
Lineage: Eukaryota; Metazoa; Arthropoda; Insecta; Hemiptera; Margarodidae
Description: tRNA-Leu
Source: RNAcentral
UUUAAUAUAGCAAAAUUAAAUGCAUAAAACUUAAAAUUUUAUUUUAAAUUAAUUAUUUUAUUAAAA